RNAcentral lists this long non-coding RNA (1069 nucleotides) under Salmo salar (Atlantic salmon). Its description in RNAcentral is "lncRNA (ENSSSAG00000120635.1)". Lineage: Eukaryota; Metazoa; Chordata; Actinopteri; Salmoniformes; Salmonidae. The record is from RNAcentral.
CCAAAGUUCAGCUCGCUACCUGUGGCUGUGCAGACAAUGUCCAGGUUUCUAACAUUGUUAUUCUAACAGUUUUAUCCUUUACUGUGUGUGAAUUCAAGAACUGGUCGAGGGCAUGAACUUUACCCAAAAACCUGGUUACCUCUGCCAGGAGUCUAAAACAUGGCCAGAAGUGGAUCUUCCAGCAAAACAAUAACCCCAAGCACUCGUCAAAAUCCACAAAGAAAUGGUUAGUUGGCCACAAAAGUAACAUUUUGCAAUGGCCAUCUCAGUCUCCAGACUUGAAAACCUGUGGUUUGAAUUGAAGAGGGCAGUCCAUAAGCACAGACAAAUGAUAUUAAGGAUCUGGAAGGAUUCUGUAUGGAGGAAUGGUCUAAGAUCCCUCCCAUUGUGUUCUCCAUCCUGCUGUCAUCCUUGCAAGGUGAGGUAUUGAGAACGGGGGUGUCAAUAAUUUUGACCCCUACCUUUUUGAGAGAAAAAUAGAAAAAGUCUCUCUGAGCAAUUGUAUUAGUAUAAAAUAAUAUAUUUUCCCAAUUUUUUUGCGCAUACAAUAUAGCUCAGUAUUUUAAUUAUUUAUUUUAUUCAGUCAUUUUUGCCCAUCUUUAUCACCCUCUGUUCUGUUGUAUUGGAUUUGACCCAACCCUGUAGUAUUUCAUUUAGGCCAAAAAGUGAAUUUGUUUGCCAUGUUGUCUUGCAAUAUUACUAAACAGCCUUGUUGCAAACAGAAAGCAUGAUAUGGAGAGGAUUUUUUUAACACAGGCAUCUUUCUUUUCACUUUGUAUUAAAGUGUUUUGGUGGCAGCAUCAUGUUAUUUUUAUUUAACCUUUAUUUAACUGGGCAAGUCAGUUAAGAACAAAUUCUUAUUUUCAAUGACGGCUUAGGAACAGUGGGUUAACUGCCUUGUUCAGGGGCAGAACGACAGAUUGUUACCUUGUCAGCUCGGGGAUGCGUCCCUAUGGGUUAUGGGUAUGCCUUCUGCUCUUAGGGGUAAUGGAUAGCCAUGGUUGGGACCUAGUAGCCUAUAGGCAAGUUGACUUAUUUUGAAUGUUGUGGCUAUAGGCUUACUUCUGAU